RNAcentral lists this microRNA (24 nucleotides) under Brachypodium distachyon (stiff brome). RNAcentral describes it as "bdi-miR7723b-3p". The record is from miRBase by way of RNAcentral. Lineage: Eukaryota; Viridiplantae; Streptophyta; Magnoliopsida; Poales; Poaceae.
AUGAAGGUAGUAGUUUCAAAAUGG